This 460-nucleotide ribosomal RNA is filed under the name uncultured bacterium. RNAcentral's name for it is "partial 16S ribosomal RNA". It matches the Rfam family "Bacterial small subunit ribosomal RNA", at positions 338 to 795 of the family's 1533-position model. The record is from RNAcentral.
CCUACGGGUGGCAGCAGUGAGGAAUAUUGGUCAAUGGACGCAAGUCUGAACCAGCCAUGCCGCGUGCAGGAAGACUGCUCUAUGAGUUGUAAACUGCUUUUGUACGGGGAUAAACGCAGAUACGCGUACCUGUCUGUAAGUACCUUACGAAUAAGGAUCGGCUAACUCCGUGCCAGCAGCCGCGGUAAUACGGAGGAUCCGAGCGUUAUCCGGAUUUAUUGGGUUUAAGGGGUGCGUAGACGGUCGGAUAAGUUAGUGGUGAAAGACCGAGGCUCAACUUUGGAAUUGCAAUUGAUACUGGUAGUCUAGAGAGCAGUUGCGGUAGGCGGAAUGUAUGGUGUAGCGGUGAAAUGCUUAGAGAUCAUACAGAACACCGAUUGCGAAGGCAGCUUACCAAGCUACUUCUGACGUUGAUGCACGAAAGCGUGGGGAGCAAACAGGAUUAGAUACCCUAGUAGUC